GCUCCUGGAUGACAAAGGACACACAGGUCACUGGUUUUGUUUCAUGUCUUCACAUUGGAUAAUACAGGUGAUGAAGUGUCCAUUAGCAGCCUCUAACGAUGACUCGCUCUCCAAUAUCUGGUGUUUAAUCAAGUCUUAAUCAGAUGUCACCCGUGCACAAUUGAGAAGAAAAGAGCCAGGCUGUGUGAGCGGUGUGAGCCAGCUCCGGCGUGCCAUUGUGACCCCUGAGUUGGAAGUGGACACCCCAGUUUUCUCAACGACUCCAUUAACUAUAAAAAUUUCAUCAAUCCCUGAGCUUCUAUGUCAACUUACACAAACAGAUCAACCUUUGGAGGCAUCUUGGCAGUGCCCUAGCUCCUCAGCAAGGAAAGAGAGGAAAUCAUAGUGCUUCGAUCAAAGAGGAGCUUCUGAGCACGUGAGUGGGCCACGCGUGUGGAAGAAGCCAUGUGAAGCUGCGUGACCACUGCAGGUGGCUUCGUGGAGGAUUGGCAGCUACUGGUGCGGCUUCCACAUCAAGGCACACACACUUUGGGAGAGAGUACAGGAGCAAGAGCCAAGACCACAGGUUCUGCCCUAGCUCAGCUCUCUUAGCCUCAGCUUCCACAUCUGCUAAAUAAGGGAAAGACUCUUGCCUGUGGUACGGAGCUGGAGGAAGGGCUAGCAGAUGAAAACAUGUGGAUGUCGGGCUGUUUCACCAUUACAGAGAAAGAACUGGCCAGUUUCUUUCCCAUCUUUGGUAGGUAGGUAGAGACCUCACCUCGCUCGUCUGACCAUGUCAGGUACAUUCUGAGGAGAGUACAAAACAGCUCACUCCCAUGAGCGAACCAACAGAGACUGGACACCAAAGCCAGAGGUCAGGCGCAUCUGAGCAACAUUUCCCUUUCUCAGGCUGGAAAGAGGCUUCUGGACCUCUGCUUAUUGUCCACCAAUACCCCUAACUUUUUAAUGUCGCUCAUCCUCCAUCACCCCCUCCCUUCCUCACUUCCUGCCUUACCCAGCUUAGAUUCCAUGACCCAUUAUUGAAAUCAGCUUCUGUGCUCUCCUGUCAGAGUCCCCACCCCGGAAGCCCUCCUUACACUCAAGCUGGUGAGCAUGGUAAGGGGGACUUCGCAUGUGGACUAAGCUUCCUGCCUGUCUAUGUUGACUCCUCCAGCAGGUGUUGACCAUUCCCCAGCAAUGCCCACUAGGCCUACUAUUGUAUUGCCUUCCUCCCUCCUUCUAAAAGACCAUUCCAUCCCUUCUCUUGUCUCUUCUCAUCCCCCUCUUCUCUGCCAGUAACUGUCUUAUUCUUCAAAAAGGAAAAGGAGGCAAUAAACCAGAGGCUUUCCACCACCACCUCACUUCUAUCUGGACCCACACUCCCCACUUUCCUUCUGUUUCUGUGGUUCAAGUGGUCCUACUCCAAGGAAAAGGAUAACCUCUGCACCUGUGCUCUGAACUCAAGGGCCUCACUCCUGUAUCUUUUUCCUUUAUCUCCCUGUCUACUGGACAAUUGAAUCACACACACAUUUCCAUAUCUCUAUCCUUCAAAAACAACUCUCUGCCAGGGACCCACAUCCCCCUGUAGCUACAGCUCCAUUUUUCUGUUCCCCAAAACAGCAGGAAGACUUACUUAUAGCUCUCCCUUCACAGUGUGUCCUUAACCUAUCUAACUGGACUUCCCUACCCCUACAUUGAGUCUGCUCUUAUUUAGAACACCAGUAACCUCCAUAUGCCCAAACUCAAUGGUCACGUCUCUGUUCUUACCUUACAUGAUCUCUUAGCAUUCUCUACAGCUGUCCCUUCCUCUUUCCUUGGGUUCAUGGUACAUUUCUCUCCUGAAUGCCCAUCAGCCUCACUAGGUGUAUCUUUUCUGCCUCUUGCUGGCCCCUUCUCCUCUUCUUGACCUCCAGAUGUUAAAAUGCCCCAGAGCCCUAUCUUUGACCCAUUCCUUUCUUCCAGCUAUACUUUUUCCUAAGUGAUGUCAUUCUGUAGCUUCAAAUAACAUCCAAAUGCUGAUUAUUCCCAGCUGUAUAUCCCACACUCUGGCUCUCCUUGGAACUGCAGACUCAUAUACCCAGUCUUACUUGACACAUCUUACUGAUGUCCAUCUCAAACCUGACAUGUGCUGAAAAGAACGUUUGAUUCCUUUCUCUCUCCUAUCAUCCCUAGGAAUGCUCUACUUUCAAUCUUCCACCACCCACCCAUUACUCAAGGCAGCAAGAUAGCCCUUGCUCCUGUCUUUUUUAUCAUUCCCAUGUGCAUUCCAUCAACAAGUCCCCUGCCUCUAGCCUAAAGUGGUCACUUUUCUUUACCUCCACUGCCACCACCUUUGCCACUAUCCAUGCCACAGUACAUCCCUGGAGCACUGAAAUAGCCUCCUUAAUGUGUCUCUGCUUACACUCUUGCUGCCUACAAACCAUUCUUAUCCAUACUCCAUAGAAAAUACUUCUCUUUUGCAUCAAGUUCUCCCAAAUGCCUCCAACCACCAUUAGAAAAAAAAAAAAUCAACUUUGUUUUCCUAGUUUACAAAUCCUACAUGAUCUGGCCCAGCUCAGCAUAGGACUUGGGAGCUAAAUCUCAUCAGGUUGACUGAUAAAAGAUCCAAGGGGUUCUUUGGAUUGAAGACACUUGUGGUGUGAGUGUGUUCAAGCUAGGUUCUAGGAGGAAAGGCCUGGGAAAUGUUGCAAUCAUGGGAAAGCAGUGAGGGGAAGAAGGGAAGAGAGGGCACCUCUCUUUAUAACCAGACUCCAACUUGGAGAAGGUCCCAUUCCUUAGGGCAGCCUAAUUGCCAAGACAGUAUCAUCAGCAACAGGGCCAUAGAGGACCUGAGCAGUAGAGGAUUGCGUUCUUCCAAAGGCAGAGCCUGGGGUCUGCUAGAAUGCCCCUGGUUGGCCUUUGGGGAGAGGUAGAGCUGGGGGUUACGGAGAGGGAAGAAGAGGAAGAAUAGCUGCCAUUUUGCAAAACUCAAUAGAAUGCCUCCAGCUGGGGCCAAGCAGAAGGAAUAGUGGCUAAGCCAUGGAAGCGGAGCUGGGAAUAACGUGCCCUUGGCUGACAUGGCUGGGAUGGGGAACCUUGGAACCCUGUAUACAGUCCUCCAAAUAGGGCUUCAGCUGGGCUCCACCAUCCCAAGGCCAAGUGUUUGUACUCUUCCCUCUUAUGUCAGUCUGUACCACCCAAACAAGAAAGUGCAAGCCCCCUCACCCCCUCCAUCCACGGGAAAAUAUGUGGAGGUAUGUCUUACUGUUGUCCAAGUGAUUGGCUUUAAUGAUCUUCUCUGAGUAGUCAGAAAUACUGGAACAUUCGAUCUAGAAAGAGCACAGAACAAAGGAGCGAGGCAUAAAAAAAGAUCAUAGCAUGUCUAGCACCAAUUUACCUGAUGGAGGUGCUGAGCCUAAGGGGGUACAGUGACCUGCCCACAGCCAUAUCAUUACUUUGUGACAAAUUGAAAACUGCAGAACAGCCCUCCUGAUCAGCAGGCCAGUGGCUCUUGCAUUUGAAUCUGUCUGCUUUUGUCAUGAGGGUGACUCUCAGCCACUGCUUCACAAUGGAGGGCCUGGCCUCAAGUUGGGAGACUCAGGAGAAGCUGGCAGGCCUCCUCCUGGCCAGAGGAGAAUGUGAUGAGAUCCUCCCGGAGGAGGACAUGGGAAGGCAAGCCGUAGCCAGAGCUGCUGUGAGUAUCCAGGGACCUUACUCUCCUUACUUCCCACCUCCCAAUUCCAGGAUAGAGAAAUGCCACAUCACGGCCUCAAGGCCAAUCUUGAGACUCAUCCCACCAUACAGGUCACACACUAACUCUCAUCCCUUCUGUGAUGCCCACCUUUGAGAUAAUUAAUUCUUUUAAUCUCCAAGUCUUUCCAAACUCCCCAAAUCUCCUAACCGAAGGGCCAAGAUAUGUGAGAAAUGAGCUGACCAGCAGCUGAGAGGGUGCCUUGUGGGAAUAGUGGAAGAUCAAGCCCCAGCCUGGGGCAUGUAUCAGGGGAGGGCCAGAGGAUGCUGGAGCCAGAGAGGCAGCUGUUAACAGCUGCUCUCACCUCCUCAGCUGGCCCCCACAGAGGCUGCCACUCACCUCCACACUCCGGACCCCCCUCAGACUGUCCCUAGGGCCUCCGGGAGAGUAUUUGCAUUGGAGCACUGGAGGGAGCUGCUUGCAGCCUCCAUCAAAGCCUUGGGGAGGGGUAAGGGCGCCUGCAGGGUCAGGAAGCAUGGUUCCAUCAGAGAAGAUAGACCUCCACCAGGCUCAGAGCCCAAGAGGAUGGGCCCUUUCCUGUGGCCUCUGAUCCCACUUUCUCUGGGACUGUGCUGCUCCAAUUCUUCCCCCUGCUCGCCAUGUUGGCAUCCAUCUGCAAGAGGCUGUGGAGUUUCACAGUGAGGAAAGCAUGAUCUGGAGCCAGGCAGCCUGGAUUCCCAUUCAGCCUUGACCACUCUCCAAUUGUGCCUCAGUUUCCUCAUAAGUGAGGAAAGAGUCCCUGUUUUACUUGGUCAUUGGGAGAAUUAAAUAAGCCAAAGCAUGUGAACCACUCAGAGCAGAGGGCCCCCAAGCCCCAGCAUCCUGGCGGCCUUCUUUCCUCUUUUCCCAUCUCGCUUUCCCUUUCCCCUUUUCUCCUCUCUUCCUCCCUCCUUCCUUCCCUCCCUUCCUCUCUUCCCCUUUCUCCUUCUCUCUCUCCUCUCCUCCUUUUCUCCUUCUCUCCCUCUUUCUCCCUGGCUCUUUCUUUCUGGAGAAGAGCAGCGGGUAGAAGAGGGAACCUGGAACAGGAGAAACUGUGAAAUGAGCCAUCAGGAAAGAGGCCCAGCUAAAUGUGGGAGCUGUUUAUAAAAGAGCUGUGACAGCAAAAGACCGUGAAGCAGACAGAUUGGGACAGUUGGGAUAGUCACCACAGCUGGAAGGCGCCGAGUGGGCGCCUCCUGACAGCGCCUUAGUAGGAGGAAGCCGCUGGCCACUUGGAAACCAGUGAAGGGCAGCCCAGCUACCCAUGCCCCAGCCAGAUGGGGGCGGAGAGGCCUCAGAGAUGGUGCUGGGAAGGAAAGCACGGGGAUGGCCAGAAAAAUCAAGUCCCCUCCAGAGGCUCUUUGACCUCAUUGGACAUGGAAUCUGUCCCUUGCUGGGAAGCCUCCCUUUUGGUGAGGAAGGCACAGUGAAGGAUAGUUGGAAGGUGGAGAGGGCAGGACUUGACUUGGGGCAUCUGGGUUGGCCUAUCAACUUAGCGAGUGCCUCAGCUGAGUACCCCAUAGCUUUUCCAGUCAAGUCUGUGGUGGAUAUGCCUUGAGGAUGGCCUGCGUUUCUAGAAGACCCUCUACAGCCAAGGCCCAGACACUUUCUAAGCCAGGCAUGGAGGAGGAACACUGUCCCUGCUGGGGACUCAGGGAUAGGCCUCUGAGGCCAAGUGAGGGGUAGCCAAGGGGAUGUGGAAGCUCUGGGGCUGUCAGCACAGGCUACAGGACAAUGCAGCUAAAUGCACAGGGAACAAAGCCCCACCAAGAGCUGCUCAGCUCCCAUGGGUCUCUGCAAACAGCUGUCUCAUGCACAUGCUGGGAGCUAAAUUGUAGUGUGUCUUAAAUUUUGAUCAAGACUAAUUCCCAUAUUCCAGCCUUGGACCCUCUGCAUUUUGCAAAUAUCAGCCAGCCACUCAGGGGCUCUUCUUUUUUAGGGUUUCUUCCCAGCUCCAGACCCCCCAGCCUCCCUGUCAUCAGGCAGUACACAGCUGUGUAGUGGGAGCCAGAGGAAAGCUGGGAGGCUUCCCAGAGGGUCAGCCUCCAUUUCCAUCUGGAGGGGCUGCAGCAGCCAGAGUAGCAGAAUUUAAACCUACCAACUUGCCUUUUAAAGGACAAAGGAAGGAGAUUAUCUUGUUCUCAUCCCCUAGGGCCUCAUCCCAACUAUAUUCAUAUUAGACACUGGGCAUUAGUCAUAUGCCAGGCCCUGUUCUAAGCAUUUUACAUAUGUAUUAAACUCAUUAAUUCUAGACGAUCACUCCAUGGGUGAGGUAUUGUUAUUAUGGCCAUUUUAGAGAUGAGGAAAGUGAGGUACAGUCACACAGAGUAGAGAUUCAAGCCAAAGCUCACACAUAUAACCACACUGCACUGCUUCUCAAGCUGAUGGUAGGACUAAGUGUUCUAAGGUAAUCAUGACCGGAAUGAUUUCCAGAAAGUCAAAAAUCCUCUGUAAAUGUCAGCAUUUGUCAGGGCAAGGAGCCAGGACCAAUGCCAUGGGAGCUUGCCCCCACCUCUUGAGAAUACAUUUAAUUUUCUUUACUUGUCCUCGAGGGUAUGGCCCCAGCAAGGGAUGGCCCUGGGUUUGCACUUGUAGGAAGGACAGAAGAAGAUGUAAGGCAAUGAGGAGCUGGUUCUAUAGAAGCCAGUGAGCAGGGGAACCCCUGGGUGGCUCAGCAGUUGAGCAUCUGCCUUCGGCUCAGGGUGUGAUCCCGGGUCCUCGGAUCGAGUCCCAUGUCGGGCUCCCUACAUGGAGCCUGCUUCUCCCUCUGCCUGUGUCUCUGCCUCUCUCUCUCUCUAUGUCUCUCAUGAAUAAAUAAAUAAAUAAAUAAAUCUUAAAAAAAAAAAACUUAAAAAAAAAAAAAAGAAGCCAAUGGGCAGGAAGGGAGUGGCAUGCUCACCCCAAACACUUUCUUGGCUCCUGCUUUGGCAGCAAACAUGGAAAGGAUCCCGGUACCACUCCCAACGUCCAGCACCACUUUGUCCUUGAACACAUGCUUAUUGUGGUACAUGGAGUUCCGGUAGGUGAGUGUCCGCACCUCAUCCUUCAGCAUUUCCUGUGGAAGGAAAGGAAAGGCCGUGUCAGUGUAUUCAAGCCACCUGGGAGUACACCGAGGUCAUGGACCUCAAAACCCCAGGACUGUUCUGCCAAAUUUUUCAAGAAUCUCAAUAAUGGGUGCACCUGGCUGACUCAGUCACUGGAGCAUGGAACCCUUGAUCUUGGAGUUGUGAGUUUGAGCCCUGUGUUGGGUAUAGAGAGAGCUUAAAAAUAAAAUCUUAAAUUAAAAAAAAAAACCCCUCAAUGAUGUAGGUAGGCCAUAGGAGAGUAUUGUAGGACAGCUGGACUAGGGGCUACCUACAUACUUACAAACAACUCCAGCCUUAAAACUCUACCCAGGAAAGAUAAUUUUGUUCUAUAAGAGGAGAAAUGCAUGUCCAGCAUUGGGAAAGCUUCCAUCUCCCAAAGAACAAAAAGAAACAUGAGUGCAAUGCAACUUGAGGGAUUUAAAUUAAACCUGAAACAGAAUGUUCUGCAACAGUGAUAGAACUGUCAUCAAACAGGUUGUUAAAGGAGGUUUGUGGUCUCUCCGUGUGCGUGUGUGUAUGUGCAUACUCUUCUUGUUUGCUUUUUUUAAAAGAAUGGAAAACAUAUUUCUUUAUCCACCACUAUUUAAGUCCUUUGUGACCAAAAAGAAAGUAGGUUACCCCUUACAACUGUCUCCAACCUAAGGAAAAUAUGAUUAAUUUGCAAAUAGUGGUGAGGCAGGGAUCUUUUUCCAUUCAAAUUGUCAGCAAACACUUCUUCUUCUUCUCCUUCAUCUCCUUCUUCUCCUUCUCCUCCUCUCCUCCUCUCCUCCUCCUC
Long non-coding RNA from Canis lupus familiaris (dog), 7549 nucleotides. RefSeq lists it as uncharacterized. NCBI's taxonomy places the organism in Eukaryota, Metazoa, Chordata, Mammalia, Carnivora, Canidae. The record is from RefSeq and is a predicted model, not a curated record. The transcript is spliced from 4 exons.